CCUACGGGAGGCAGCAGUGGGGAAUCUUAGACAAUGGGGGAAACCCUGAUCUAGCCAUGCCGCGUGAGUGAUGAAGGCCUUAGGGUCGUAAAGCUCUUUCAGCUGUGAAGAUAAUGACGGUAGCAGCAGAAGAAACCCCGGCUAACUCCGUGCCAGCAGCCGCGGUAAUACGGAGGGGGUUAGCGUUGUUCGGAAUUACUGGGCGUAAAGCGCGCGUAGGCGGACUAUUAAGCCAGGGGUGAAAUCCCGGGGCUCAACCCCGGAACUGCCUUUGAUACUGGUAGUCUAGAGUUCGAGAGAGGUGAGUGGAAUUCCGAGUGUAGAGGUGAAAUUCGUAGAUAUUCGGAGGAACACCAGUGGCGAAGGCGGCUCACUGGCUCGAUACUGACGCUGAGGUGCGAAAGUGUGGGGAGCAAACAGGAUUAGAUACCCUGGUAGUCCACACCGUAAACGAUGAAUGCCAGACGUCGGCAAGUAUACUUGUCGGUGUCACACCUAACGGAUUAAGCAUUCCGCCUGGGGAGUACGGUCGCAAGAUUAAAACUCAAAGGAAUUGACGG
This 560-nucleotide ribosomal RNA is filed under the name uncultured Alphaproteobacteria bacterium. Its description in RNAcentral is "bacterial SSU rRNA". It matches the Rfam family "Bacterial small subunit ribosomal RNA", at positions 338 to 916 of the family's 1533-position model. Lineage: Bacteria; Pseudomonadati; Pseudomonadota; Alphaproteobacteria. The record is from RNAcentral.